CUUACUCCACGCCAGAAAGU
This 20-nucleotide microRNA is filed under the name Ananas comosus (pineapple). RNAcentral's name for it is "microRNA s1289_c032b". Lineage: Eukaryota; Viridiplantae; Streptophyta; Magnoliopsida; Poales; Bromeliaceae. The record is from RNAcentral.